This 536-nucleotide ribosomal RNA is filed under the name uncultured bacterium. RNAcentral describes it as "bacterial SSU rRNA". It matches the Rfam family "Bacterial small subunit ribosomal RNA", at positions 35 to 603 of the family's 1533-position model. The record is from RNAcentral.
GCUGGCGGCGUGCCUAACACAUGCAAGUCGAACGAGAAAGUGGAGCAAUCCAUGAGUACAGUGGCGUACGGGUGAGUAACACGUGACUAACCUACCCUCGAGUGGGGAAUAACUUCGGGAAACCGAGGCUAAUACCGCAUAACAUCUACGGAUCAAAUGCGCAAGCAGCUUGAGGAGGGGGUCGCGGCUGAUUAGCUAGUUGGCGGGGUAACGGCCCACCAAGGCAAUGAUCAGUAGCCGGCCUGAGAGGGCGCACGGCCACACUGGAACUGAAACACGGUCCAGACUCCUACGGGAGGCAGCAGUGGGGAAUUUUGCGCAAUGGGGGAAACCCUGACGCAGCAACGCCGCGUGGGGGAUGAAGCCCCUUGGGGUGUAAACUCCUUUCGAUCGGGACGAUUAUGACGGUACCGGAUGAAGAAGCACCGGCUAACUCUGUGCCAGCAGCCGCGGUAAUACAGAGGGUGCAAGCGUUGUUCGGAAUUAUUGGGCGUAAAGGGUGCGUACGCGGUGCGGUAAGUCUUCUGUGAAACCUC